GCCUGCGUUUCGAAGUGCCACGUGGUUGACAGUCUUGCUGUUCUGUUUCCUCCUGGCACCGUAGAAUUUGUGUCACUUGGAGCUUGCUAUGCUGCGUCUCAGCUCACCACAAACGUUCCACAUCAGAAUCUGGACCUUUCCUGCAUCCCCAGUAGACAGCUGUUCCCUGGGAGUACCUGAGCUACUCCUCGUCCAAGCUGUCAGGUGUCAGCAUUAGUCAAGCCCUUCAGCUCAGCUGUGGCAUAGCUUCAAGUCAGCAGUUCUCUGGGCCACCUGUUACCACAAGCUACAUCAGGACACUCCCAAACAAUCCCUUCUUCAGUUCUUUCCUCCCCCGGCACCCCUAGCUAAAGCCCAGAGCAAUUGGAAGCAACAAAAAUUACUUGUCAAAAGUAAAUCUCUAUGAAGAAAAGCA
Grammomys surdaster is the source of this 415-nucleotide long non-coding RNA. RefSeq lists it as uncharacterized. The record is from RefSeq and is a predicted model, not a curated record. Lineage: Eukaryota; Metazoa; Chordata; Mammalia; Rodentia; Muridae. The transcript has 2 exons.